This 372-nucleotide ribosomal RNA is filed under the name uncultured bacterium. RNAcentral's name for it is "bacterial SSU rRNA". It matches the Rfam family "Bacterial small subunit ribosomal RNA", at positions 917 to 1291 of the family's 1533-position model. The record is from RNAcentral.
GGGCCCGCACAAGCGGUGGAGUAUGUGGUUUAAUUCGAUGCAACGCGAAGAACCUUACCAGGGUUUGACAUCCUGCGAAUCUCUUGGAAACAGGAGAGUGCCUUCGGGAACGCAGUGACAGGUGGUGCAUGGCUGUCGUCAGCUCGUGUCGUGAGAUGUUGGGUUAAGUCCCGCAACGAGCGCAACCCACGUCGUUAGUUGCCAGCAUUUUAGUUGGGCACUCUAGCGAGACCGCCGGUGAUAAACCGGAGAAGGUGUGGAUGACGUCAAGUCAUCAUGCCCCUUACAUCUGGGCUACACACGUACUACAAUGCUACGGACAAAGAGCAGCUAACUCGCGAGAGUACGCAAAUCUCAUAAACCGUGGCUCAG